Molecule: long non-coding RNA, 2418 nt
Organism: Ictidomys tridecemlineatus (thirteen-lined ground squirrel)
Lineage: Eukaryota; Metazoa; Chordata; Mammalia; Rodentia; Sciuridae
Source: RefSeq, a predicted model, not a curated record
CCGUCACCGCUCUCUCCGCCCCUACGCGCCGCACGCCGCGGCCGCCUGUUAGCAAGGUAGGUGGCACCGCGGCGUGAACCAGUCAAGGGCGCCUUGGAGAAUGACCCUGGGACCCCGUAGUCGCCGCCAUUGCUGGCCGCCGCGCCCCCGCCCCGCAGUGGGGCGCGGCCAGGGGCUGUGGAAGUCCUGCUCCGUGGGCAGAUCCUCGAAGAGGCGAGGAACCGUUGCUCAGUUCCCUAGAGUCCGGGAUGGGAGCGUCCCAGGCUGAGGGGCGUGGGGAGGGGCGGCCCAGGAGCACCUGGCGAGGACCCUGCUCAGGCCUGGCGGCGCCUGUCCACCGAACCUUCCUCGGCCUCCCCGCUCGUUCUCCCGGAUCCCUCCUGAAGGUUCGCGGCGCGGAGGCGGUCCCCGAGGGUCGGGGUUCUGAGUGGGCAUGAGACCGCAGGACUCAGUACAGAGCGAGCCACGUGGGCAGUGUCCUAUCGCAAUCUGACAACGCUUGGCUUAUAAUUAAGGAUCUUACUGACAAAAAGGAUUGUAAGCGAACACAGUGGGUCCGUUCGCCCCUUGGUGAUCGAGGAGCCAGUGAGCACAAUCAGAAAAGAUGAGAGUGAAGAAUGGUUUACUUAUGAGGCUGCUUCCUGUUUUUGACCCUAAUGACCAUCAAGGAUCCCAGAGCCACUGCCAAGCCACAGACCCACAGGGGUAGCAGCUUCUCAAUCCUCUCUGACUUUAUAACUCCAUGUCUUCAACUCAGGGAGUCUGUGGGGCUCCACUUGGAUUCCUCCUUCCUGUGCUGCACAACGGAACCUUUUUCCGGGCAGUAAACUAGGACAAGUCCUGGGUUUGCAACCACAGUCAUGCCAUAAAACACUUCCAUCACAUCACCAUCAUUCUGAAAAACUCUGGGCUCCUUGCAGCCAAUCCUGACCUUUGGCACACAUUGAUCUGCUUUCUAUCAUUGGAGGUUUGUCUUUUCUGGAAUUUCGUAUGAAUGAAAAAAUUGACAGAUAUUUUCUUAUGUUGUGUCUGGCUUCUGUCCUUUCCCAUAAGGCUUUUCCGUGUCAGUACUUUGUUUCUUUUUGUUGCAUAGUGUUCCAUUGUAUGGAUACACAAAAAUUUGUUUAUCUAUUUGAUGGCCGUGUGGGUUGUUUCCAUUUUGGGCUGCUCUGGAUAUUGGCAUGCAAAUCUUUGGGGUAAACACUUAGAAAAAGAAUUGCUAGGUUGCACAGUGUUUGAUGAACCUUUUAAGAAACUGCUAAAAUUGCUAAGCUGUUUUUCAAAGCAGUUAAAGUGUUUGUGUUCCCACUGGCAGUGUAGAAGGUUCUGGCAUUGCACAUUCUUACCAGUGCAUACAUACCUUGUAUCACUCUCUAUUGUAUUUCAUUGGUGUUGUGUUAUGUACAAAUAUGUAUUGUAUAGUGUUAACUUUCUUGUGCACUGAAAAACAAAAAAAAAUUCAUGUGAGUCACUUUGUUGCCAUAUUUCUUUUAUUCCGAUGAUCUGAAACCAAAACACAGUAUCUCCAAGGUACACCUGUACUUGGUAUUGACAAUCUUUUAAAUUUAGCUAUUCUAAUUUGCAGUACUGGGGAUUGAAUCCAGAGGCGCUAUACCACUGAGGUUCAUCCCAGCCCUUUUAAAAUUCUUUUAACUUUGAGACAGCGUCUCCCGUGAAGUUGCCCAGGCUGGCCUGGGACUUGCAUUCCUGCCUCAGCCUCCAAUCGCUGGUAUUACGGCACAUGCCUCUGUGCUCAGUUAGUGUUUGGUUUUGAUAAGUCCAGUAUAUGGAUUUUUCUUCUUUGUGUUCUUCAUGUCCUAAGAAAUCUUUGCUCACCCAAAUGUCACAAAGGUCAUCUAUGUUUUCCUCUAAAGAUAUUAUGGUUUUUAUUUUUAUACUUAUGUUAAUGGGUUUUUUUGUUUGUUUGUUUGUUUUUAGCUUUUGAUGAACCUUUAUUUUAUUUAUUUAUAUGCAGUGCUGAGAUUCAAACCCAGUGCCUCACACGUGCUAGGAAAGCACUCUGCCACUGAGCCACAACCCCAGCCCUAAUGGUACAUUUGAAGUUUAUUUUUGUGUAUAGUGUCAGGUAGAUUGGGAUUCUUCCCCUCCAUCCAUAUAGAUACUAAGUUAUUCUAGCACCAUUUGUUGAAAGACUAUUUUUUCCCUGUUAAAUGCCUUGGCAUCUUUGUUGAAUCUCAGCUAUCCUUAUGUAUGUGACCCUAUUUCUAGCCUCUGGAUUCUGUUUCAUAGGUUGUUACACUAAUACCUACACUGUCUUGAUUAGUGUAGCUACAGAGUAAGUACAGAAAUCAGUGUCAGUCCUCCAAACUUUAGUUCUUAUCUUACAGAAUUAUUUUGGCUACUUUCAGUACUCUGCUUUCUUAUAUAAAUUGUCUUCAGUUUCUACAAAAAAAAAAA